This 334-nucleotide unclassified non-coding RNA is filed under the name Basidiomycota sp. RNAcentral describes it as "partial contains small subunit ribosomal RNA, internal transcribed spacer 1, and 5.8S ribosomal RNA". The stretch from base 1 to 47 matches the Rfam family "Eukaryotic small subunit ribosomal RNA", at positions 1785 to 1831 of the family's 1831-position model. The record is from RNAcentral. Lineage: Eukaryota; Fungi; Basidiomycota.
AAAGUCGUAACAAGGUUUCCGUAGGUGAACCUGCGGAAGGAUCAUUACAAAUCCAAGUGGAUACGUGCGUGGUCACGACCACCAGCAUGAGGCGACGUGUCGCCGAGUGCUGUGUGUGUCGUGCCACCACGUGUCCCACACAACACACCCGUUUUAAUGUUCUUUGAGAGGGUCGUGGGGGAAAGGGGGGGAGAGCCGUCUUGACGUCUUCUUCUCUCUCUCACUUCACUCUCUUUACAACAAACCCCCUAGUGUGAUCUCGUUGCUUCACAAAUUGUGUCUCUACACACACAACAACAUGAAACAACUUAUAACAAUGGAUCUCUAGGCUCUU